AGAUUUGCUUAACUUGGGUGAACCAACUGUCAUUGUCGCACCUCCCAUUGUGGACUCAUUCAUGCAGUUGGAAGGAUCGUACACUUCAAACAAACCCAUUUGACCUGCAAAUUUCAUGAAAAAAAAUAAUAACAAUUUCAAAACUGCUUCUAACUUCCCUCACCAUAACUCAGUUUAAACUUAUGCUUUCAUCACCUCCAACAUAAUCUAAUCCAAUGCAAGCCUUACAACAUGCCGACCAUAGCUCCAUAACAAAGACCGUAAACCGUUAGCCUGCAAAAACACAAAUAUACAUCAACCUUUUCCAACAUUAAGCCAUUUGAAUCCACAGCAUAACAGUGGAAAGAAGGAGGCAAAACAGAAGCAUAGCAUAAUAGAGAACUGUAAACACUCACUGAAACCAUGACUAACUUCAUAUGAGAACCGACUCGGUAACUAACCUGCCAAGUGCCAUAACUGCCCACGAUUAACAGCAACUGUCGAAACCAACUCGAACCGAAUUCCAACUGUCUUCAACCGUCCUAACCGCCUAAUCAAUUCCAAUUGUCGCCAACUGUCGCCAACUGUCAUUGAAUCUAACUAAUUCCUAACUGAAUCCACAGUUUUCCAUAACCUCCACAACUUCAACAACCUCUAUAGAACUGAACUGGUUUCUUCACCCAUUUUUUUUUCUUUUUCCAUCUCCAUUGCACCCCAGAACUGACGCUGACUUCACUUCAUCAACUUCUUCAACCUCUCAAUCACAUCCACCAAACCUCCCUUCACCUCCACCCUGCAACCCGCCGCGGAACCCUCCAACUUCUCCCAAUAACCACCAGCUUCCACCAUCUGCUCUGAAUGAGGUCCACAUAAAAAGCCGCCAACCUUCAUAAUUUUACGGAAUCUCCUCCAAUCAACAACAGAACGUAACAGAAACAGAAGAAGAGGAAAUAGCAAAACGGAAGGAGAAAACUCACGGUUUCGGGGAAAGGUCUUCAUCGAUCGAGAUUCGACGGAACUCAGAAGCGAUUACCUUCCCUCUUCAAAGAAAGGAUCCAACGCCUUUCCCUCUUCACUGCAACGCCACAACGCAAUCCAUCAGCAAUAGCGACUCGUAACACGCGUACCACGCGACGUCAAAGCGACGACGCCGUAACAGAAUCGACGGAUGAUGACGACGGAGCAUAACCAAAGGAGAUGAUCAUAACCUUGCGUCGACAUUUCGAAUCGGAGCAUCAUCGUCAUUGUUCAUCCAACGCGUCAUCGACGACAAAACAGAUCGGAGAAGACGAUUUCAGAUUCAUGUUGAUUUGAACGGCCACCGAAGGUGAGUUUGUUGUUUCAAUCUUUAACGUGAGUUUUUCGUAUUUUUCGUUUUGAAGCUAACGCAAGGUCGCGUUCUGGACGAUUGUUCGAAUUCCGGAAGAAGGUGGAGUUAAAUUUCUUAGGGAUGUUCGUGCUGAGCGUUGUUAACCUUGGAAUCUCUCUGUAGUGACAUGGCCAUGGAUUCGGUGAUCCGAUUGGAAUUUGAACUCAUCUUGGAGCUUGGGCCUACGGCCCAAGUAUUCUUCACACAUACACUAUCCAUUUUCAUCUCACCCACAGGUUCCAAUAUUAAUUUGGUUCUUAAUCCUCCGCUUAAUCCAUAAUUAACAAUUAAUUAUUUAGGGUUAAAUUCUGUUUUCUUAAUAAUCCUGAUGUUGGAGGGUUAAUUUGAUUGAUUUAGG
Molecule: long non-coding RNA, 1706 nt
Filed under: Lathyrus oleraceus (garden pea)
Lineage: Eukaryota; Viridiplantae; Streptophyta; Magnoliopsida; Fabales; Fabaceae
Description: Pisum sativum (pea) long non-coding RNA (PSAT_LNC008462)
Source: RNAcentral